UGGGGAAUUUUGGACAAUGGGGGAAACCCUGAUCCAGCCAUGCCGCGUGAGUGAAGAAGGCCUUCGGGUUGUAAAGCUCUUUCGGCUGGGAAGAAAUCGCACAGGCUAAUACUCUGUGUGGAUGACGGUACCAGCACAAGAAGCACCGGCUAACUACGUGCCAGCAGCCGCGGUAAUACGUAGGGUGCGAGCGUUAAUCGGAAUUACUGGGCGUAAAGCGUGCGCAGGCGGUUGUGCAAGACAGAUGUGAAAUCCCCGGGCUCAACCUGGGAACUGCAUUUGUGACUGCACGACUAGAGUACGGCAGAGGGGGGUAGAAUUCCACGUGUAGCAGUGAAAUGCGUAGAGAUGUGGAGGAAUACCGAUGGCGAAGGCAGCCCCCUGGGUCGAUACUGACGCU
This 400-nucleotide ribosomal RNA is filed under the name uncultured bacterium. Its description in RNAcentral is "bacterial SSU rRNA". It matches the Rfam family "Bacterial small subunit ribosomal RNA", at positions 355 to 747 of the family's 1533-position model. The record is from RNAcentral.